Molecule: unclassified non-coding RNA, 246 nt
Filed under: fungal sp.
Lineage: Eukaryota; Fungi
Description: partial internal transcribed spacer region
Rfam family: Eukaryotic small subunit ribosomal RNA (bases 1-46)
Source: RNAcentral
AAGUCGUAACAAGGUUUCCGUAGGUGAACCUGCGGAAGGAUCAUCAUUGAACCUCUAAAUAUCAAAAACACGCUCUGUGCACUUGUUUGUUGGGUGGGUGUUGUUAAAAGACGCGCUCGUGCUCUUUUUUCUUUGCCCGCCCACAUUUUUUAAAACAUAAACCCCCUUUUUACCCCUCUUAUCCAUACUUAAAACACAAAAAACAUAACCAAAAGACAACUUUUAACAACGGAUCUCUUGGCUCUC